RNAcentral lists this ribosomal RNA (254 nucleotides) under uncultured prokaryote. RNAcentral's name for it is "partial 16S ribosomal RNA". It matches the Rfam family "Bacterial small subunit ribosomal RNA", at positions 524 to 777 of the family's 1533-position model. The record is from RNAcentral.
UACGUAGGGUGCGAGCGUUGUCCGGAAUUACUGGGCGUAAAGAGCUCGUAGGCGGUUUGUCGCGUCUGCUGUGAAAACGCAAGGCUUAACCUUGCGCCUGCAGUGGGUACGGGCAGACUAGAGUGCAGUAGGGGAGACUGGAAUUCCUGGUGUAGCGGAGGAAUGCGCAGAUAUCAGGAGAAACACCGAUGGCGAAGGCAGGUCUCUGGGCUGUUACUGACGCUGAGGAGCGAAAGCAUGGGGAUCGAACAGGA